RNAcentral lists this long non-coding RNA (1033 nucleotides) under Gouania willdenowi (blunt-snouted clingfish). Its description in RNAcentral is "lncRNA (ENSGWIG00000007743.1)". The record is from RNAcentral. Lineage: Eukaryota; Metazoa; Chordata; Actinopteri; Blenniiformes; Gobiesocidae.
AUGCUCUAAAGGGCCGGAUUUGGCCCCCUGGCCUUGAGUUUGACACAUGCUCUAGACUUCUACUCGUCUGUGUGGACCACUUAUACAGAUGAAACAAGAGCUAAAUCUAUUGCACCAUAUAGAUCUCUUUGCAAAUCAUAUUUAUUAGUAUGUAAAUGUGAUGACGUCUGUCUGUGUGAUUUAUUUAUGGAAUCAUCUAUUUAAUCAUGGUUUGACUUUAAGGGAUUUUGUACGUAAGUAAGUCAAAAACUCUUUAAUUUAAAUUGAAAUGCUAUUUUUCUAUGCCAUGCUCAUUUUUACAUCUAGUUUUAAUUAUUUGAACACGACAAUGUUCAAAAAUAGACGAAAAGUUUAAUUAGUUCAGUUCAUUUUACAGUGACUUUCUUUAUGAUUUCGUUCUGUAUCAAUGAAGGACUAUCCUAUGUUAUUUGUAGCUUGUUCCUGCUUCAGGUUUGCUACAGUAGCUUAGCGGCUUUUGCCAAUUUCAACUCUUUUUCAGACAGUCAAGCAUCAUCUAUUGCAGACAUGGGUAAAUAAAGCCAUAAAUGAUCAUUAUUGCUCCUUCUGCUGCCUUGCCCAACCACAUACUGUACCUAUUCUCCAUGUGAUAGAAACUGUUGUACGGCCUGUUGUGGUAGUGAGCAUGUUUACAAUAACCAAGACUACUUUACAUCAGUAACUGUGCCAAAUUAUAUAAAUAUAUAGUACAUAUAUAGUACAUAUAUGUACAUAUAUAGUACAUAUAUAUAGUACAUAUAUAUAUAUAUAUAUAUAUAUAUAUAUAUAUGUUGACUUGCACUUUGGUGUUGAUGUCACAUAUUACAGUGUGCGUGAACGUUUCAGGUGUUUUAGGUGAUAUAGAGCAUGAAGCGUUCCACAUUACUCAGAUGGGGAAGUAAAAUGCUGCUAACAUCCAGUUAUUCUAUGGAAACGUAUUGUAUUCACUUGAUUAAAGAAAAACAUUCUGAAUGAUUUUUUUUUUGUUUGUUUGUUUUUUGGGGUAUUUUGGGGGUAUUUUUUCUGUUAUUCAGAG